GAUGAAUGCUGGCGGCGUGCCUAAUACAUGCCAGUCGAGCGAACAGACGAGGAGCUUGCUCCUCUGACGUUAGCGGCGGACGGGUGAGUAACACGUGGAUAACCUACCUAUAAGACUGGGAUAACUUCGGGAAACCGGAGCUAAUACCGGAUAAUCUAUUGAACCGCAUGGUUCAAUAGUGAAAGACGGUUUUGCUGUCACUUAUAGAUGGAUCCGCGCCGCAUUAGCUAGUUGGUAAGGUAACGGCUUACCAAGGCAACGAUGCGUAGCCGACCUGAGAGGAUGAUCGGCCACACUGGAACUGAGACACGGUCCAGACUCCUACGGGAGGCAGCAGUAGGGAAUCUUCCGCAAUGGGCGAAAGCCUGACGGAGCAACGCCGCGUGAGUGAUGAAGGUCUUCGGAUCGUAAAACUCUGUUAUUAGGGAAGAACAAAUGUGUAAGUAACUAUGCACGUCUUGACGGUACCUAAACAGAAAGCCACGGCUAACUACGUG
RNAcentral lists this ribosomal RNA (497 nucleotides) under uncultured bacterium. RNAcentral's name for it is "partial 16S ribosomal RNA". It matches the Rfam family "Bacterial small subunit ribosomal RNA", at positions 28 to 507 of the family's 1533-position model. The record is from RNAcentral.